CUUAGAUUUUUAUUAUGUGGUAUAAUCAACCCAGGGCAAGAUAAUUUGUUAUAAAAAUAUGUGUUGUUUUUCAUGAUUUUUGCAUCAUUAACAUUAAAAUUACAGAUUGCUUCAACAUAUAUCCUUAAUAAAAGCUUUAUUCAAUUAGCUUGUCAAAAGGAUUUCAAAGGAUUUAUCUAGCUUUUAUGGGAAAAAAAUAAAG
Molecule: unclassified non-coding RNA, 202 nt
Filed under: Hevea brasiliensis (rubber tree)
Lineage: Eukaryota; Viridiplantae; Streptophyta; Magnoliopsida; Malpighiales; Euphorbiaceae
Source: RNAcentral